RNAcentral lists this ribosomal RNA (252 nucleotides) under uncultured bacterium. RNAcentral describes it as "partial 16S ribosomal RNA". It matches the Rfam family "Bacterial small subunit ribosomal RNA", at positions 524 to 776 of the family's 1533-position model. The record is from RNAcentral.
UACGUAGGGGCUAGCGUUUUCCGGAAUCAUUGGGCGUAAAGCGCGUGUAGGCGGCCCGAUAAGUCCGCUGUGAAAGUCCAGGGCUCAACCCUGGGAUGCCGGUGGAUACUGUCGGGCUCGAGUCCGGAAGAGGCGAGUGGAAUUCCUGGUGUAGCGGUGAAAUGCGCAGAUAUCAGGAGGAACACCAAUGGCGAAGGCAGCUCGCUGGGACGUGACUGACGCUGAGACGCGAAAGCGUGGGGAGCAAACAGG